CCUACGGGUGGCAGCAGUGAGGAAUAUUGGUCAAUGGACGAGAGUCUGAACCAGCCAAGUAGCGUGAAGGAUGACUGCCCUAUGGGUUGUACACUUCUUUUAUAUGGGAAUAAAAUGUUCCACGUGUGUGAUAAUGUAUGUAUCAUAGCAAUAAGGAUCGGCUAACUCCGUGCCAGCAGCCGCGGUAAUACGGAGGAACCGAGCGUUAUCCGGAUUUAGUGGGUUUAAAGGGAGCGUAGGUGGAUUGUUAAGGCAGGUGUGAAAGUUUGCGGCUCAACCGUAAAAUUGCAGUUGAAACUGGCAGUCUUGAGUACAGUAGAGGUAGGCGGAAUUCGUGGUGUAGCGGUGAAAUGCUUAGAUAUCACGAAGAACUCCGAUUGCGAAGGCAGUUCACUGGACUGCAACUGACACUGAGGCUCGAAAGUGUGGGUAUCAAACAGGAUUAGAUACCCCGGUAGUC
Molecule: ribosomal RNA, 460 nt
Filed under: uncultured bacterium
Lineage: Bacteria
Description: partial 16S ribosomal RNA
Rfam family: Bacterial small subunit ribosomal RNA
Source: RNAcentral